AAUUGGAAAUACGAUCCAAACUGUUUUGCUGUCAGUUGUCAUCAUAUUUGUGAACCAUCGAAAAACAGUUAGUGUUUGGCCAUCCGGCUGAUGAAUUUUAGGAGUCAAAGCGGCGGUCAGAAAAUGUCAUGCUCAAUACGCCACUCUCAUGCCGCACCUUCCAAUCAUGGCAUCGAUCAGCAGCAGCAGCUCGCCGUUUGGAACUACAUCCAUCGCCGGAACAACAUCCGCAUCCGCAGGCUGGAUUGCCUGAAGGCUUAGGAGGAGGUGGCCUGCGAGGAACCGACGGCGGUUGGAUCGAAAAUGGCCCAGUUGGUGCAUUUUUUGUACGAGAACGAUAGGAACCCGGAAGAGGACUUUCAGAAGAUGUUGAUCCUGUUUAGGAGCUUGUAUUUGCAUAAUUGUAGGAAGUGAAAAUUAUGAAUGCAUAAUAAGAUGCCGAGAAAAAAAUAUAAAGAAAGUCGUGAUUUUAGAUUUCUAUUCAAAUAAAGUUGAAAAGUGUACGCUAGUUUCUGGUUGAAGCAA
Molecule: long non-coding RNA, 525 nt
Organism: Culex quinquefasciatus (southern house mosquito)
Lineage: Eukaryota; Metazoa; Arthropoda; Insecta; Diptera; Culicidae
Exons: 2
Source: RefSeq, a predicted model, not a curated record